UGCACGGAUAUCUUCCUUAGCACAGGAUUCCACUGCAGGCAUGCACUAGAAUUGCUUUAAAGCACUCUUGGGUAUUUAAAAUUGCAACAAUUAUAUCUCUGCAGCUAAGUUUUUGUGCUCAUCCUUGUUCUCUAGAAAAACAUCUAGAAGUGGAAUUUCUCAGCCACUUUGAAGACUUCCUAGGCAGCACUCAAUGAUGCUGUAGGUAAGGGGUAUCAAAUUGCACUCAGGUGGGUCCAAGGGCUCCCUUUGCUCAGCCUCUGGAGAAUGAGGGCCCUGACUGAAUAGCAGAAGCUACAGUGAGCGGGUAAGAGCCAGCUCCAGAUGUGGUGGCUGGAAAGGAGGCCCUAGGAAGAGCCUGGUGGGAGGGAUUGCCACACUUAGAUGCCGAGUUCCAGCCCAAAGUGGUCAGACAGGAGGACUUUCCCUCCCUUCCCUUCAGAGUGAAGGGUACCCUCCCUCUGGAUGUGAAUUAGGCAGGUGAUUGGUGGAGCCCUCAAUCAAUUAGUGAAAAGAAAGGGUAAAGAAUGGGAAGGAAGGUGGAGAUGCCAGGUGCACAUAAUGCCCACUUCGUCCUAAUGCUCUGGGCCUCUCCCACACCUCCAAGCCAACCCUGCACCGUAGCAGAUCACUGGCGGGAUUUUUCUUAAUAAAAUAUGACCACCAUAGACUGUAGCAGUGUUCUAGGUCCUACGUGUGGAGAUUCAUUCUGUACCUACAGAGAUGGCAAGGUCCCACAGACCAGGAGGGCAGGGCAGGGAGACCUGGGUGCUCAGGGCAGGAGCAAGGGGGGGAACAAUGAGUCCUGAGUGGAUGGAGCCCGAGGGAAGAGCAUGGUGAGCACGGUGAGCCCAGUGAGCCGGAGUGUUCUGGACCCUGGAGGGAAGCAGAGGGGCAGGAUGUGGCCCUCACUGACACGUGUUUAAGGGCUGACAUCA
RNAcentral lists this long non-coding RNA (938 nucleotides) under Marmota monax (woodchuck). Lineage: Eukaryota; Metazoa; Chordata; Mammalia; Rodentia; Sciuridae. The record is from RNAcentral.